This 236-nucleotide unclassified non-coding RNA is filed under the name Hysteriales sp. RNAcentral's name for it is "partial contains 5.8S ribosomal RNA, internal transcribed spacer 2, and large subunit ribosomal RNA". The record is from RNAcentral. Lineage: Eukaryota; Fungi; Ascomycota; Dothideomycetes; Hysteriales.
CGCACAUUGCGCCCUUUGGUAUUCCGAGGGGCAUGCCUGUUCGAGCGUCAUUUCAACCGUCAAGCCUAGCUUGGUGUUGGACGAGGUCUGGGGACCCGUCCGCAACUUGUCGGCGGCACCGUCCAGCUCUCAGCGUAGCAAGUCUUGUACCCUCGCUCGGGAGCCUGUGGCGGGCCCGCCCUACAACCCACUUAGAGUUUGACCUCGGAUCAGGUAGGGAUACCCGCUGAACUUAA